Long non-coding RNA from Alligator sinensis (Chinese alligator), 1435 nucleotides. RefSeq lists it as uncharacterized. NCBI's taxonomy places the organism in Eukaryota, Metazoa, Chordata, Crocodylia, Alligatoridae. The record is from RefSeq and is a predicted model, not a curated record. The transcript has 3 exons.
UGGUGUAUUAGCACUGUCCAUGCCGUGAUGUGCUACUGAGCAGUGUAAUUAAGCUACUACGCAGUUAGUGUCUUGUGUAGAUACACCCCCUGUGCUGUAUUAAUGUUCAUCUUGUGUUUUGUCUAAGUUCUGAUUUAGCAUUUGGGCUCCAGAACACUGCUCUGCAAGGCUUAAAAGAAAGUUAUUUGGGACAAGAAAAUGGCAGCUUAGAGAAUGAAAAGCAGAUGGUAACUUGAAUGCACAUAUCUCUGAGCAAAUACCCUACUUUCAUGUGUGAAAAAAGCAAGAGGGUGUUUGUAACACUGAUAUUAAUGCAAAUGGUGAUGAACAUUUACUUUUCAACUGAUACUGCAAAAGUGAAGUCUUCCUGCAGACUUGUGCAUAGGAGGUCCUGCCGAAAAUACUUAUAUAUAAUUUAACAAAAAGAGGCUUUUGUACUAAGAAAUUAUGGCUUAAAGCUUUCUGUUUGGGAAAAUUCCAGCCUUUGUGUUCAUAUCCCAGUUAUUACAGUAAAGACUUCCAAAUGGGAGAUAUUUUAGAAGCAAGCAGCACGUGACUGAUAAAGGUGCCAUGCUUAUUUUUCUUAAUGCAAUGGUAUGCUUUGACUUUGAGGAGGAAUUUUAAAAGGUUCUAAAUGAGAUGGUGCAAACAAACACAUUCUUACAACAUUUAUGUAAAAUGUUAAGAAAAAGAAGGAUAGACAAUGCUUAAAAAUAUGCCCAAGAACUAUGAUAAUAGUCUUGCAAGCAUGCAUCUUAUAGCACCACAACUUUUUAAAAGUCCAGCUGAAAUAGAUGCAUCAGGGUCUGUAAUAUAAGUUAAUAAAAUAAUACAGAAUCAAAGAAGAUUUUUGUUUGAAACACUUUGAAAACAGUUUGCUAAUUAACUGAAAUACUGUAUUAUCUAUUCUAUUUAGUUGCCUAUUCAACAACUUUUAAGGAAAAAGUGUGUCUGGAGAACCUAUAUGUUGAUAUGUGAUACGAAGUAAUAUACCUUGGCUCUGAAUUUGCUACUAGAAUAUUUUUUUCUGUCAUUGUAUUAAUAAUUGUAUGUUUGGAUUGAUAAUGCUAAUAGAAAGAAUUUUUUUUCAAAAUCACAGAAGUUCAUUGAAUAACAUUUUGAAAGACCUGGGGAGACAAUGGAAGAAUCAAAAAGAUGUUACAGGAUCUACCAUCUGGGACAUCUACAAGAGAAAGUGAAGUUUCAAGAAGUUCCCUGGAGCCCUACUUUAGUAAGAAGGAAAGUUACUGACUUACAGCCUGGUGUCAUCUGCAAAUGUGCUGAGGGUGCACACCAUCCCAUCUGCCAGAUCACUGAUGAAGAUGUUGAACAAAACUAGCCCCAGGACCGACCCCUGGGGCACUCCUUGUGGAAGAAUCAUCUUCCAGCUGCCAGCUUUCAGGUUUUUUUUCCUUUUCUUUGUCUUGGUCUUCUU